CCUACGGGAGGCAGCAGUGAGGAAUAUUGGUCAAUGGACGAGAGUCUGAACCAGCCAAGUAGCGUGAAGGAUGACUGCCCUAUGGGUUGUAAACUUCUUUUAUAUGGGAAUAAAAUGUUCCACGUGUGGGAUUUUGUAUGUACCAUAUGAAUAAGGAUCGGCUAACUCCGUGCCAGCAGCCGCGGUAAUACGGAGGAUCCUAGCGUUAUCCGGAUUUAUUGGGUUUAAAGGGAGCGUAGGUGGAUUGAUAAGUCAGUUGUGAAAGUUUUGGGCUAAACCGAAGAAUUGCAGUUGAUACUGGCGAUCUUGAGUACAGUAGAGGUAGGCGGAAUGCGUGGUGUAGCGGUGAAAUGCUUAGAGAUCAUGAAGAACUCCGAUUGCGAAGGCAGCUCACUGGACUGCAACUGACGCUGAGGCACGAAAGUGUGGGGAUCAAACAGGAUUAGAUACCCCGGUAGUC
This 460-nucleotide ribosomal RNA is filed under the name uncultured bacterium. RNAcentral describes it as "partial 16S ribosomal RNA". It matches the Rfam family "Bacterial small subunit ribosomal RNA", at positions 338 to 795 of the family's 1533-position model. The record is from RNAcentral.